ACGAACGCUGGCGGCGUGCCUAAUCCAUGCAAGUAGAACGCACAGUUUAUACCGUAGCUUGCUACACCAUAGACUGUGAGUUGCGAACGGGUGAGUAACGCGUAGGUAACCUGCCUGGUAGCGGGGGAUAACUAUUGGAAACGAUAGCUAAUACCGCAUAAUAUUAAUUAUUGCAUGAUAAUUAAUUGAAAGGUGCAAUUGCACCACUACCAGAUGGACCUGCGUUGUAUUAGCUAGUAGGUGAGGUAACGGCUCACCUAGGCGACGAUACAUAGCCGACCUGAGAGGGUGAUCGGCCACACUGGGACUGAGACACGGCCCAGACUCCUACGGGAGGCAGCAGUAGGGAAUCUUCGGCAAUGGACGAAAGUCUGACCGAGCAACGCCGCGUGAGUGAAGAAGGUUUUCGGAUCGUAAAGCUCUGUUGUAAGAGAAGAACGGGUGUGAGAGUGGAAAGUUCACACUGUGACGGUAUCUUACCAGAAAGGGACGGCUAACUACGUG
RNAcentral lists this ribosomal RNA (504 nucleotides) under uncultured bacterium. RNAcentral's name for it is "partial 16S ribosomal RNA". It matches the Rfam family "Bacterial small subunit ribosomal RNA", at positions 29 to 507 of the family's 1533-position model. The record is from RNAcentral.